GCACAACUGCACUUCACACAGCAAGUGUUUUCGCACACAGUCCUGUCUGAAACACUCGCGAUGUCGCUGUACCCGUCUCAGAUGAAAGCUUUCAAAAGCGCCGAGCCCAAAACCCUCGGGGCAGUGGAAAUGAUAAUUGGCACGCUGACAGUCAUUCUGAGCACUAUCGUCUAUAAACUGCACUACCAUAUCCAGCGGGAGAUCAUCAUCCUCAUCAUAAAUGGUGCUCAGCUCCUUAUUACUGGAAUUGUGUUGGUGCAUGCUGGCAGGAAACCUACUAAAUGCCUGGUGGGUACAAACAUUGUUUUGCAGCUCCUGACCGCAGCGUUUGAUAUUGUUGGAUUUGGUCUCAUGGCCAGGCAUAUUCCUUUCCGUGGGGAGUCUUAUUAUUACAGAGACACUGAGUGGUGUUGUGACCCACUCCAUUCAGUUUGGGCUUGCUGUGGAGAAGGAGAGAGAGGGGGCCACAAAGAGUUUUUGGUGAAUGGGAUUUUGUGCACUCUGAUUGGUUGCUUGGUGCUGGCAUGUAUUAUUGGUCUGGUCGUGGCACUUUUUGGUGUGUACGCCCUGUCUGUCAGUGCUAUUAAGGACAUGACACCAAUUCCGAACGCCACAGGAAAUCCACAGUUCAGUGCUGGAGGACACACCAGGUGCUGUCCGUGGUUGGCUCCUUGGAUUCUGGAACGUUACAGCGGGAGAUUGCUGACAGGUCAGGAAUUUCUCUGAGUCACAUACGUCUGCGACGUCGAUU
Molecule: long non-coding RNA, 751 nt
Filed under: Astyanax mexicanus (Mexican tetra)
Lineage: Eukaryota; Metazoa; Chordata; Actinopteri; Characiformes; Acestrorhamphidae
Description: lncRNA (ENSAMXG00005018785.1)
Source: RNAcentral